GCCGCGAUAGCUCAGUUGGUAGAGCAACUGAUUCGUAACCAGUAGGUCGGAGGUUCGAUUCCUCUUCGCGGCACCA
RNAcentral lists this transfer RNA (76 nucleotides) under Neisseria sp. RNAcentral describes it as "tRNA-Thr". It matches the Rfam family "tRNA". From Rfam's summary of the family: Transfer RNA (tRNA) molecules are approximately 80 nucleotides in length. Their secondary structure includes four short double-helical elements and three loops (D, anti-codon, and T loops). Further hydrogen bonds mediate the characteristic L-shaped molecular structure. tRNAs have two regions of fundamental functional importance: the anti-codon, which is responsible for specific mRNA codon recognition, and the 3' end, to which the tRNAs corresponding amino acid is attached (by aminoacyl-tRNA synthetases). tRNAs cope with the degeneracy of the genetic code in two manners: having more than one tRNA (with a specific anti-codon) for a particular amino acid; and 'wobble' base-pairing, i.e. permitting non-standard base-pairing at the 3rd anti-codon position. Lineage: Bacteria; Pseudomonadati; Pseudomonadota; Betaproteobacteria; Neisseriales; Neisseriaceae. The record is from RNAcentral.